AUAUUGGACAAUGGGCGCAAGCCUGAUCCAGCCAUGCCGCGUGAGUGAUGAAGGCCCUAGGGUUGUAAAGCACUUCCAUCGGAGAAGAUAAUGACGGUAACCGUAGAAGACGACCCGGCUAACUUCGUGCCAGCAGCCGCGGUAAUACGAAGGGGGCCAGCGUUGUUCGGAAUUACUGGGCGUAAAGCGCACGUAGGCGGAUUGGUCAGUUAGGGGUGAAAUCCCGGGGCUCAACCCUGGAACUGCCUUUAAUACUGCCGGUCUAGAGUUCGAGAGAGGUGAGUGGAAUUCCGAGUGUAGAGGUGAAAUUCGUAGAUAUUCGGAGGAACACCAGUGGCGAAGGCGGCUCACUGGCUCGAUACUGACGCUGAGGUGCGAAAGCGUGGGGAGCAAACA
This 396-nucleotide ribosomal RNA is filed under the name uncultured bacterium. Its description in RNAcentral is "partial 16S ribosomal RNA". It matches the Rfam family "Bacterial small subunit ribosomal RNA", at positions 361 to 774 of the family's 1533-position model. The record is from RNAcentral.